This 404-nucleotide ribosomal RNA is filed under the name uncultured bacterium. RNAcentral describes it as "bacterial SSU rRNA". It matches the Rfam family "Bacterial small subunit ribosomal RNA", at positions 917 to 1322 of the family's 1533-position model. The record is from RNAcentral.
GGGCCCGCACAAGCGGUGGAGUAUGUGGUUUAAUUCGAUGCAACGCGAAGAACCUUACCAGGGUUUGACAUCCUGCGAAUCUCUUGGAAACGAGAGAGUGCCUUCGGGAGCGCAGUGACAGGUGGUGCAUGGCUGUCGUCAGCUCGUGUCGUGAGAUGUUGGGUUAAGUCCCGCAACGAGCGCAACCCACGUCUUUAGUUGCCAGCAUUUAGUUGGGCACUCUAGAGAGACCGCCGGUGAUAAACCGGAGGAAGGUGUGGAUGACGUCAAGUCAUCAUGCCCCUUACAUCCUGGGCUACACACGUACUACAAUGGCCGGUACAGAGGGCUGCAAUACCGCAAGGUGGAGCGAAUCCCAAAAAGCCGGUCUCAGUUCGGAUUGAGGUCUGCAACUCGACCUCAUG